UACGGAGGGUGCAAGCGUUGUCCGGAUUUAUUGGGUUUAAAGGGUGCGUAGGUGGCCAUUUAAGUCAGCUUUGAAAGCUGGUCGCUUAACGAUCAGGGGUGGGUUGAUACUGGAUGGCUUGGAUCAGGUGGCGGUUUCUGGAACGGGUCGUGUAGCGGUGAAAUGCAUAGAUAUGACCCAGAACUCCGAUUGCGAAGGCAGGAGGCUACGCCUGGAUUGACACUGAGGCACGAGAGCAUGGGGAGCAAACAGG
RNAcentral lists this ribosomal RNA (253 nucleotides) under uncultured bacterium. RNAcentral describes it as "partial 16S ribosomal RNA". It matches the Rfam family "Bacterial small subunit ribosomal RNA", at positions 524 to 776 of the family's 1533-position model. The record is from RNAcentral.